Molecule: RNase P RNA, 397 nt
Filed under: Poseidonocella sedimentorum
Lineage: Bacteria; Pseudomonadati; Pseudomonadota; Alphaproteobacteria; Rhodobacterales; Roseobacteraceae
Description: alpha proteobacterium KMM 9023 Bacterial RNase P class A
Rfam family: Bacterial RNase P class A
About the family: Ribonuclease P (RNase P) is a ubiquitous endoribonuclease, found in archaea, bacteria and eukarya as well as chloroplasts and mitochondria.
Source: Rfam by way of RNAcentral
GCGGAGAGGUGGAUGGCCGCGGGGCGACAGCUCCGAGGAAAGUCCGGACUCCACAAGGAAACGGUGCCGGGUAACGCCCGGCGGGGGCAACCCCAGGGAAAGCGCCACAGAGAAUGAGACCGCCGCGCUUUGCGCGGUAAGGGUGAAACGGUGGGGUAAGAGCCCACCGCGGGACGGGCAACCGGACCGGCACGGCAAGCCCCACCGGGAGCAAUGCCGAAUAGGGAUCGCGCGCGGGCCGGUCGGGGAGACCCGAAACCGCCGCAGGGCCGGCCUUGGCCCCGACGAUCCGGGUUGGCAGCUAGAGCCGCGGUGGCAACAUCGCGGCAAGAGGAAUGGUCAUCCAUGGGGGCUUCGGUCCCCGGGACAGAAUCCGGCUUACAGCUUCUCCGCGCCU